RNAcentral lists this ribosomal RNA (435 nucleotides) under uncultured bacterium. RNAcentral's name for it is "partial 16S ribosomal RNA". It matches the Rfam family "Bacterial small subunit ribosomal RNA", at positions 28 to 507 of the family's 1533-position model. The record is from RNAcentral.
GAUGAACGCUGGCGGUAUGCUUAACACAUGCAAGUCGAACGGACUCUUCGGAGUUAGUGGCGGACGGGUGAGUAACGCGUGAGAAUCUGGCUUUGGGUUCGGGACAACCACUGGAAACGGUGGCUAAUACCGGAUGUGCCGAGAGGUAAAAGAGAAAUUGCCUGAAGAUGAGCUCGCGUCUGAUUAGCUAGUUGGUGAGGUAAAGGCUCACCAAGGCAGCGAUCAGUAGCUGGUCUGAGAGGAUGACCAGCCACACUGGGACUGAGACAUGGCCCAGACUCCUACGGGAGGCAGCAGUGGGGAAUUUUCCGCAAUGGGCGAAAGCCUGACGGAGCAAUACCGCGUGAGGGAAGAAGGCUCUUGGGUUGUAAACCUCUUUUCUUAGGGAAGAACAAAAUGACGGUACCUAAGGAAUCAGCAUCGGCUAACUCCGUG